Albula goreensis is the source of this 73-nucleotide non-coding RNA. NCBI's taxonomy places the organism in Eukaryota, Metazoa, Chordata, Actinopteri, Albuliformes, Albulidae. The record is from the annotation of a GenBank genome assembly.
GGCAAUGUGGUGUAAUGGUUAGGGUGCUGGGCCUGAAACACAAAGGUUGCAGGUUCAAUUCCCGGGUUUAACA